RNAcentral lists this ribosomal RNA (169 nucleotides) under Streptomyces sp. RNAcentral's name for it is "partial 16S ribosomal RNA". It matches the Rfam family "Bacterial small subunit ribosomal RNA", at positions 1203 to 1371 of the family's 1533-position model. Lineage: Bacteria; Bacillati; Actinomycetota; Actinomycetes; Kitasatosporales; Streptomycetaceae. The record is from RNAcentral.
UAUGUCCUUGGGCUGCACACGUGUACAAUGGCAGGUACAAUGAGUGCGAUGUCGCAAGGCGGCGCGAAUCUCAAAAAGCCUGUUUCAGUUUGGAUUGGGGUCUGCAACUCGACCCCAUGAAGUCGGAGCUGCUGGUAAUCGCAGAUCACCAUUUAGAUGUUGAAUACGU